UUGUCAUUAUUUGAUGAGUUUCACUUAAUUAAAAGAAAUUUAAUAUAUUUAAAUGAGUUUUGAUUAUUCAUUACAAUCUGAUUGAAACUCAUCCAAAGAGAAAAUUUCAGAACAGUUGAAAAAAAUCCUAUAUUUAUUACCCUUUUUAUGAUAAUCAAGAUGAUCAUCCAUUCUUGAAUAAGUACACCAGUAUAUGAUCUCAUCAUUCCAGUCUGUUCGUGAUCUCCAUCAACAAAAACUUACUGACGUUUUCAGUGGAGACACCAGUACCACACAUGGCUGCUUUCUUUGUACUUGUACCUCUCUUUCUUGACUUGUCAUCUGAAAUUGAAUAUUCACUCUGUGGGAUGGUAGAAAGCUUCAACUGAAGUUUUUCAGAGUCCAAGGUAGUUCUCAAUGUUGAUGCAUGUUUUGCUGGUAAUAUCAGUAAUUUUUUUCAGAUUUUUUCAUGCUUUCUAUGUGGGGUGAUGGCCUUUUUUUCUUCUUUUCAUUUUUAUUGCUUUGAGUUUCAUUCACCGUUGAUGCAUUAAGAGUUUCUGGGAAAAUCGACCUGGGUCUGCUCAUGAACAUACUGGUGAAAACAGGUAGACAUGCAGAGGUCUGCUGGGCCUCCUCCCCAGUCAAAUUAUUGGCUCAAUCGCCUAGAGCCAGAGGCUAGUUUCAGCAACAGGCACUGCAAAGGGUGGAUGCAGAACCAUUCCCAGUUGAACCAAAGGCUGAUGUGUGAACCGCUCAAACAUGCCUUCGUAUUUGAUACUUCUAAUGUACAUUCUCGUCUGUUCUUGUUCUUUCUGAGUUCAUGGGAUGGUGUUUAUGAAUGGUAUUUUGAGAACUUUGAUCCUCGUUUUAGAUACAAUAUGUGGGAAUUGAAUUGCUCCAUGGGAUGAUGGUUGUCAGGGUUGUGUUCCAAAUUUUUCAGGAAUUUAUAAACAUAUACCGGAUCUUAUAUAUGCGUAUUAUAUCUUAAUGCAUCAGACUGCUCAACGCUGGCGGGCCAAAAUUAGGACCAAUGCAGUAACCUAAGUAGAAAAGAAAAAUAACUGGUAUCUACACAAUGAAGUGAUGCUACAAGGCCAUAUUCAGUCUUUUACAUGCCUGUGAACUCGGUCUAUUCUUUUUAUUCUACCAUACAAGAAGGAAAUUUUGAAGGCCACUCUGGAUUCUGUUUCAGAAGUCUUCUCACACUCCACAGUAUUCACAUCUUCUUGCUUGGCGGGUUCAGUCAUAAAUGAUAAUUCUAGAGGCAAUCCACAGCUGAGCUCAGGGCCUUCGGGGAAUGUCCUUGAAGAGGGCAUUCUUGGAUGACUCUGUAGUGCUUUCAGAUGGGAGCUGGGACUGCACCAUCUGAAAGCCUCCAUGAAGGCAACUCUUGUGCAGAACUUCUAGCCAACAUGGGGCCAAGAAGCGAUUCUCAAUUGACUGUAUAGCGAAACACUGCUAGGCAUAUCCAUGGUUUGUUGGAAGGAAAACAAAGUAAUCACAAGAGUCCUUCCAUUUGCUAACCCAAGAAUGCCUGACGAACAAAGUUUAAAACACUAAAUUCCAAGCAACAAGUCAUAGGGUUGGAAUUAGCCCCUUGCCAAGGCCCUUUCCUGAACCAUUGGAGAAUGUCAUUUGGUGUUUGCGGUAAUAAAGAGUUCUGGUUUGAUGCAGAGUAACCAGGCAAUAUAUUUAAUUCUCUGUUUUAA
Long non-coding RNA from Vitis riparia (riverbank grape), 1688 nucleotides. RefSeq lists it as uncharacterized. The transcript is spliced from 2 exons. Lineage: Eukaryota; Viridiplantae; Streptophyta; Magnoliopsida; Vitales; Vitaceae. The record is from RefSeq and is a predicted model, not a curated record.